GGCCGUGUAGCUCAGUUGGUUAGAGCGUGACACUGUUAGGACGCUCGUGCAGGACGAGAUCCCGCCAUGUCAAGGUCGUUGGUUCGAAUCCGCCCAUGGUCG
This is a transfer RNA of Pseudozyma flocculosa PF-1, 102 nucleotides long. It matches the Rfam family "tRNA". Rfam says of the family: Transfer RNA (tRNA) molecules are approximately 80 nucleotides in length. Their secondary structure includes four short double-helical elements and three loops (D, anti-codon, and T loops). Further hydrogen bonds mediate the characteristic L-shaped molecular structure. tRNAs have two regions of fundamental functional importance: the anti-codon, which is responsible for specific mRNA codon recognition, and the 3' end, to which the tRNAs corresponding amino acid is attached (by aminoacyl-tRNA synthetases). tRNAs cope with the degeneracy of the genetic code in two manners: having more than one tRNA (with a specific anti-codon) for a particular amino acid; and 'wobble' base-pairing, i.e. permitting non-standard base-pairing at the 3rd anti-codon position. The record is from Rfam. NCBI's taxonomy places the organism in Eukaryota, Fungi, Basidiomycota, Ustilaginomycetes, Ustilaginales, Ustilaginaceae.